This 870-nucleotide ribosomal RNA is filed under the name Triticum aestivum (bread wheat). RNAcentral's name for it is "partial small subunit ribosomal RNA". The record is from RNAcentral. Lineage: Eukaryota; Viridiplantae; Streptophyta; Magnoliopsida; Poales; Poaceae.
AUGGCGAUGAAUUACCAUGGGAGUAGUGGAGGCAUAAUGGAGUUAGCAAAAAAGUUGUGUUUUUACGACACUCCAAACAAUAUAAGAGAAUUUUUGGAGAUUGACGGUAUAUAUGUAACUACAGCUCAAGUCAGUAGCCAUCUGCAGAAAUACAGAAAAGAUUGUCGUACUGGUGGGCUAUCAAUCAUGCCAAGCUCUAUGCCAUCACAUUCUAAUAGUACUUCCAAGAACAAUUUGGAAUCUCAAGAGAGUGGGGGAAGUUACAGAUUCCAUAUGAGAUCUCAGGAAGCAAGAGAUAUUAACCAAACCAGCUGGCUAAGCGGCGGUGCAUCACAAGUUGACUAUGGCGUUCUUGGAAAUGGGAACCAAACAACUAAUCUUGGUUCGGGUGCUGCUUAUGGUCAUGGUUAUCAUCAUGGUACUGGCAUUGGUGACAUAAAUGGUUAUGAUCAUCAUUAUGGUACUGUUAGUGCUAAUGAUUACGGUCAGCACUAUGGUAAUGGCAAUAAUAAAUCUUAUAGUUAUCAUCACGGUAAUUCUAGUGAUCAUAAUUAUGAUAAUCGGAAUGGUGGUCGCCGUGGAGUUAGAACAAGUGGAAGCAUGGCAGGUGCGUCAAUGCCAUCCAACCUAGCACCGCCAGUACUACAUGGAAUGGGUCGAGAUGCUUCCUCUGCUGGUCAGGCCAGUGCAGUGCAGCCUCAAAACCUUGAUAGAGUUUCUUCAAACUGGGGCAACACUAGCAGAUUUCAGUAUGAUGGUAUUACAAUUCUUUUUACACUAAUUUGUGAAUUAAGGGAGAAAUUGAUUGCACCAAGAGUUGUUGCAUCAGUGAGAUCGGUGUUAAGUCCAAGCCUGAAGAUGGUGACCUAG